GAAAGCCGUGUGCGGGAAAACUGCAUGCACGGUUUGAUGAGGAAGGGCUGGUGAGGUUGCCUAUGGAAUGGCUAUUGAGGCACCGCCAAACGAAAGGGGCGGAAACAGAUAAGCAAGUCCUAAUGGCAAUCAAAACCAGUCCUUUACUCUAC
RNAcentral lists this non-coding RNA (152 nucleotides) under Nitrosomonas halophila. The record is from RNAcentral. Lineage: Bacteria; Pseudomonadati; Pseudomonadota; Betaproteobacteria; Nitrosomonadales; Nitrosomonadaceae.